This 296-nucleotide ribosomal RNA is filed under the name uncultured bacterium. RNAcentral describes it as "partial 16S ribosomal RNA". It matches the Rfam family "Bacterial small subunit ribosomal RNA", at positions 335 to 638 of the family's 1533-position model. The record is from RNAcentral.
ACUCCUACGGGGAGGCAGCAGUGGGGAAUAUUGCACAAUGGGCGCAAGCCUGAUGCAGCAACGCCGCGUGAGGGAUGAAGGCCUUCGGGUUGUAAACCUCUUUUAGCAGGGAAGAAGCGAAAGUGACGGUACCUGCAGAAAAAGCACCCGGCUUAACUACGUGCCCAGCAGCCGCGGGUAAUACGUAGGGUGCAAGCGUUGUCCGGAAUUAUUGGGCGUAAAGAGCUCGUAGGCGGUUUGUCACGUCUGCUGUGAAAAUCCAAGGCUCAACCUUGGACUUGCAGUGGGUACGGGCA